RNAcentral lists this long non-coding RNA (1458 nucleotides) under Homo sapiens (human). Its description in RNAcentral is "long non-coding RNA NONHSAT168301.1". The record is from RNAcentral. Lineage: Eukaryota; Metazoa; Chordata; Mammalia; Primates; Hominidae.
GGGGAAAUGGCGGCUUCAGGAGAGAGCGGGACUUUGGGCGGCGGAGGCGGCACAGAGGAAGCAUUUAUGACCUCCUACAGGGAAACAAAUAGAGAAGGGAGACUUGGUUCUAACAUCCAAAAACCACAUUGAAAGACUGACCCGUCCUGGUUCCUCUUACUUCAAUUUGAACCCAUUUGAGUUUCUUCAGAUAGAUCCUGAAGUUACAGAUGAAGAAAUAAAAAAGAGGUUUCGGCAGUUAUCCAUCUUGGUGCAUCCUGACAAAAAUGAAGAUGAUGCUGACAGAGCACAAAAGGCUUUUGAAACUGUGGACAAAGCUUACAAGUUGCUACUGAUCAGGAGCAAAAGAAGAGGGUCCUGGAUGUAAUUUAGGCAGGAAAAGAAUACGUGGAACACACUGUGAAAGAGAGAAAAAAAAAAAACAAUCAAAGAAGGAAGGAAAACCUACGAUUGUAGAGGAGGAUGAUCCUGAGCUGUUCAAACAAGCUGUAUAUAAACAGAAAAUGAAACUCUUUGCUCAGCUGGAAAUUAAAAGGAAAGAGAGAGAAGCCAAAGAGAUGCAUGAAAGGAAACGGCAAAGGGAAGAAGAGAUUGAAGCUCAAGAAAAAGCCAAACGAGAAAGAGAGUGGCAGAAAAACUUUGAGGAAGGUCGAGAUGGUCGUGUGGACAGCUGGCGAAACUUCCAAGUCAAUACAAAGGGGAAGAAAGAGAAGAAAAAUCGGACCUUCCUGAGACCACCGAAAGUAAAAAUGGAGCAGCAUGAGUGACCACCCGGGGUCACAGGCACAGAACCUUCCCCCUGCUAUCUCCCUUCCUGCUUCGAAGGACUCAUUCUUUCCUCCCACUUCCACCUCAACAUAGAGUAGUAUUUGCUUUUUAGUCUGUUUCGUUUUGAAUACAAUUUAAUAUCGAUCAGAGUAAUUCUUUUGUACAAUGAAAUGAGGGGACUGGUUUAAAAAAAGACCUUCCUCCUCCCUGCCCCUAGAACAACCAGGAUUGGAAGGUGGCACCAUUGGUGCUGCCUUCUCUUCCCACAGCCUGUAACUCAGUGUUUUGUACUUCACUGAAUUGUGAUGGUUAGAAACUUCGUCCUAGUUUGUGGAAAUCAUCCAAUUAAACAUAUUACUUAAAAUGGUGUUGCUGUGACGUCAGAGACAGGCCUGGAAGGGGCACUUUGGAAGCCCCUUGGCUUCAGUUGCUCGCUUCUGGGUGUGCUCCCUUAGAAGGCCCAGAUAAGACAGGGAACACCUGUGGGCACACAGAACAGGCACCUGAUGCCCUGAUGCCCUGUGGUGUUUGGCAUGUGCCCCCUGUCUACUGACCAAUCAGCAUGGCAUGAGGCCCACGCCACCCAAACCUUUCACUUUCCAAAGAGCUAGCCGUCCUCCUCCCAGUACCAUGGUGUCCUAGCCUGUCUGCAUUUGUUAGUAGUAAUAUUCUUUAUGUAUAAUAAAUUUU